RNAcentral lists this ribosomal RNA (253 nucleotides) under uncultured bacterium. RNAcentral describes it as "partial 16S ribosomal RNA". It matches the Rfam family "Bacterial small subunit ribosomal RNA", at positions 524 to 776 of the family's 1533-position model. The record is from RNAcentral.
UACAGAGGUCUCAACCGUUGUUCGGAUUCAUUGGGCGUAAAGGGUGCGUAGGCGGUCGCGCAAGUCGGAUGUGAAAUCUCAGGGCUCAACCCUGAAACUGCAUUUGAUACUGCCUUGCUUGAGGACUGGAGAGGAGACUGGAAUUCACGGUGUAGCAGUGAAAUGCGUAGAGAUCGUGAGGAAGACCAGUGGCGAAGGCGGGUCUCUGGACAGUUCCUGACACUGAGGCACGAAGGCCAGGGGAGCAAACGGG